AUUGAACGCUGGCGGCAGGCCUAACACAUGCAAGUCGAGCGGAUGAAGGGAGCUUGCUCCUGGAUUCAGCGGCGGACGGGUGAGUAAUGCCUAGGAAUCUGCCUGGUAGUGGGGGAUAACGUCCGGAAACGGGCGCUAAUACCGCAUACGUCCUGAGGGAGAAAGUGGGGGAUCUUCGGACCUCACGCUAUCAGAUGAGCCUAGGUCGGAUUAGCUAGUUGGUGGGGUAAAGGCCUACCAAGGCGACGAUCCGUAACUGGUCUGAGAGGAUGAUCAGUCACACUGGAACUGAGACACGGCCCAGACUCCGACGGGAGGCAGCAGUGGGGAAGAUUGGAAGAUGGGCGAAAGCCUGAUCCAGCCAUGCCGCGUGUGUGAAGAAGGUCUUCGGAUUGUAAAGCACUUUAAGUUGGGAGGAAGGGCAGUAAGUUAAUACCUUGCUGUUUUGACGUUACCAACAGAAUAAGCACCGGCUAACUUCGUG
Molecule: ribosomal RNA, 484 nt
Filed under: uncultured bacterium
Lineage: Bacteria
Description: partial 16S ribosomal RNA
Rfam family: Bacterial small subunit ribosomal RNA
Source: RNAcentral